GGUGGCUUUGAUAUAUGGUGGUGGUCGUGUUGGUUGCGGUUGGGUUUCAUCUAUCGUCGAACAAAAAUAUGAUAUCUCAUCCUAUCAGUGGAUGGAUCGAUCGCACAUUUGGCAUGCAUUCUGGCUUAAUUUUGCUACAUUAAUUUGACAUCAACAGCACCUUUCCUUCCAUUCCAUGCUGGAUUCUCGCUCGUCAAUAAAUAAAUAUAUAAUGACUGACUGUUGGCGAGAUCUCCCCUCUCUCUCAGAUUCAGAUUCAGGCAGAGCCGCGGGUUAAGGUUUGGUAUUUGGUAUUUUGCUUUUCCACGAUGCGGACCCAGUACAGCAGAUCAGAUCCAUUCCCUUAGCGAUUCAUCCGCAUUGCUCUCAGAUCCAGCGAUUUCAGAUCAGAGGUGGAGAGCCGAGUUGCGCGUCCUCUGGUCAGAUGCCUCAAGCCGGCGUCCUCCACCUGACGUAUGCUAGAACAGGCUCACACAAAUCUGAUGGUGGAGCCAGUCCAAGCUUUUUUGGUUCUAGAGGAUGAGGCCAGGACACUUGGUUUUUUUGUGAAUGUUUAGAUGGGUGAAAGAAACUGCCUUCGUAUUCGUUGUAAUUUGCUUAUUGCUUUUUCUUUGUAACCGCUGAGUUGAAUUACCUGUAUUAAAAAGGUAGAAACGUCCUGAAGCAAAGAGGGUCUGAAUCUAUCAGGAAACAUUACUAUUUUAUUAAUAAUUCCCUGUUCCUAUUCUAUUC
Panicum hallii is the source of this 732-nucleotide long non-coding RNA. RefSeq lists it as uncharacterized. The transcript has 2 exons. Lineage: Eukaryota; Viridiplantae; Streptophyta; Magnoliopsida; Poales; Poaceae. The record is from RefSeq and is a predicted model, not a curated record.